CGGCACCUCAAGUGGUCAGGAUGAUUAUUGGGCCUAAAGCAUCCGUAGCCGGCUCUGUAAGUUUUCGGUUAAAUCUGUACGCUCAACGUACAGGCUGCCGGGAAUACUGCAAAGCUAGGGAGUGGGAGAGGUAGACGGUACUCGGUAGGAAGGGGUAAAAUCCUUUGAUCUAUUGAUGACCACCUGUGGCGAAGGCGGUCUACCAGAACACGUCCGACGGUGAGGGAUGAAAGCUGGGGGAGCAAACCGGAUUAGAGACCCGAGUAGUCC
This 270-nucleotide ribosomal RNA is filed under the name uncultured archaeon. Its description in RNAcentral is "partial 16S ribosomal RNA". It matches the Rfam family "Archaeal small subunit ribosomal RNA", at positions 477 to 747 of the family's 1478-position model. The record is from RNAcentral.